This 31-nucleotide non-coding RNA is filed under the name Mus musculus (house mouse). The record is from RNAcentral. Lineage: Eukaryota; Metazoa; Chordata; Mammalia; Rodentia; Muridae.
UAAUAUUUUGAGCAAUCAGAAAAAAAAUUGC